GACGAACGCUGGCGGCGUGCCUAAUACAUGCAAGUAGAACGCAGUUGCGAACGGGUGAGUAACGCGUAGGUAAAUGCCUCAACGAGGGGGAUAACUAUUGGGAACGAUAGCUAAUACCGCAUACAGUGAGAUGGACCUGCGUUGUAUUAGCGAGUUGGUGGGGUAAAGGAUCACCAAGGAGACGAUACAUAGCCGACCUGAGAGGGUGAUCGGCCACACUGGGACUGAGACACGGCCCAGACUCCUACGGGAGGCAGCAGUGGGGAAUCUUGGGCAAUGGACGAAAGUCUGACCGAGCAACGCCGCGUGAGUGAAGAAGGUUUUCGGAUCGUAAAGCUCUGUUGGUGGAGAAGCGGUAACUAACAAGAAAGAGACGGCUAACUACGUGCCAGCAGCCGGGUAAUAC
This 406-nucleotide ribosomal RNA is filed under the name uncultured bacterium. RNAcentral's name for it is "partial 16S ribosomal RNA". It matches the Rfam family "Bacterial small subunit ribosomal RNA", at positions 28 to 526 of the family's 1533-position model. The record is from RNAcentral.